GAUGAACGCUGGCGGCGUGCCUAAUACAUGCAAGUCGAGCGAACAGACGAUGAGCUUGCUCCUCUGACGUUAGCGGCGGACGGGUGAGUAACACGUGGAUAACCUACCUAUAAGACUGGGAUAACUUCGGGAAACCGGAGCUAAUACCGGAUAAUAUAUUGAACCGCAUGGUUCAAUAGUGAAAGACGGUUUUGCUGUCACUUAUAGAUGGAUCCGCGCCGCAUUAGCUAGUUGGUAAGGUAACGGCUUACCAAGGCAACGAUGCGUAGCCGACCUGAGAGGGUGAUUGGCCACACUGGAACUGAGACACGGUCCAGACUCCUACGGGAGGCAGCAGUAGGGAAUCUUCCGCAAUGGGCGAAAGCCUGACGGAGCAACGCCGCGUGAGUGAUGAAGGUCUUCGGAUCGUAAAACUCUGUUAUUAGGGAAGAACAAAUGUGUAAGUAACUAUGCACGUCUUGACGGUACCUAAUCAGAAAGCCACGGCUAACUACGUG
This 497-nucleotide ribosomal RNA is filed under the name uncultured bacterium. RNAcentral describes it as "partial 16S ribosomal RNA". It matches the Rfam family "Bacterial small subunit ribosomal RNA", at positions 28 to 507 of the family's 1533-position model. The record is from RNAcentral.